This 72-nucleotide transfer RNA is filed under the name Stegodyphus dumicola. RNAcentral's name for it is "tRNA-Ala". It matches the Rfam family "tRNA". From Rfam's summary of the family: Transfer RNA (tRNA) molecules are approximately 80 nucleotides in length. Their secondary structure includes four short double-helical elements and three loops (D, anti-codon, and T loops). The record is from RNAcentral. Lineage: Eukaryota; Metazoa; Arthropoda; Arachnida; Araneae; Eresidae.
GCCUUCCUGGUGUAACGGUAGCACACUCGGCGCGCAUUCGAGAGGUCCCGGGUUCGAGUCUCGGCGAGGGCA